RNAcentral lists this long non-coding RNA (1041 nucleotides) under Chrysolophus pictus (golden pheasant). RNAcentral's name for it is "lncRNA (ENSCPIG00010002754.1)". Lineage: Eukaryota; Metazoa; Chordata; Aves; Galliformes; Phasianidae. The record is from RNAcentral.
UUCCCACCGGGCGGCGUGCCGCGGUCCGCGCCGCCGUUGUGCCGAGGGGAAGUUGCGGGGGGAUCCGGGUGCGUGCGUGGGAAGGCGGCGGGGGAUGGUUUCGCCGUUCCCCGGCCGGUACCGGUCACCGGGUCGUGGACGUUCCCGUGGGAGAGCGGGGCUGGAAGCGAGGAAGGGGAAAAACAUCUCAAAGGGAGUUGUGAUCUAAAAGAGAAGAAGGAAGUUGUUGAAGAAACAGAAAAUGGCAGAGAUGCACCGGCCAACGGCAAUGCUAACGAGGAAAAUGGAGAGCAAGAGGCUGAUAACGAAGUAGAUGAAGAAGAAGAGGAAGGUGGUGAGGAAGAAGACGAGGAGGAAGAGGGGGAGGAAGAGGAUGGUGAUGAAGACGACGAAGCUGAGGGAGCCACAGGGAAACGGGCAGCUGAGGAUGACGAGGAUGACGACGUCGAUCCCAAGAAGCAGAAAACUGAUGAAGACGACUAGGCAGCAAAUUAUAAUUAUUUUUUUUAAAUAAGGAGGAAAAAAACAAACCAACAAAAAAGGCCAGCGCGUCCUCUUCACCCCUGGGACCCCCCCCCAUUCCCUUUCUCCUGUCGCAGCCCUCCCCACACACAGCCCUUCCUCCCCCCUCGCCGUGGUCAUCCUCACCAAGUAGAGUGAACCCCAUCCCGGCCCCGCGGCGCUGCCACUCAAUGAGCAUAGAAACGAUUCGCCCGUUCGCGGGGAGAGAAACCCCCUUCCCACAGACCCCAUUUCCACCCCCCUCCCUCCCCCCCGAGCACCUAAACUUCAAGGCCCUGCUUUCUUUCUUAAAAGUACUUUAAAGGAGAAUUUGUUUGUAUUUUUUAUUUACAUUUUAUAUUUUUGUACAUAUUGUUAGGAGGUCCGCCAUUUUUAAGUGAUCUCGGAUUGACCAAAAGGGGGGCUUUGAAGUGUAUAUCUCUUGUUACCUAUCUCUGACUUUACUUGUGGUGUGACCAGGCCCAAACCAUUAUCUCAAAGGAGAAUAAAAAAAAAAAACUUGUAAAAAAAAAAAAAGAC